RNAcentral lists this ribosomal RNA (465 nucleotides) under Vreelandella stevensii. Its description in RNAcentral is "partial 16S ribosomal RNA". It matches the Rfam family "Bacterial small subunit ribosomal RNA", at positions 338 to 795 of the family's 1533-position model. Lineage: Bacteria; Pseudomonadati; Pseudomonadota; Gammaproteobacteria; Oceanospirillales; Halomonadaceae. The record is from RNAcentral.
CCUACGGGUGGCAGCAGUGGGGAAUAUUGGACAAUGGGGGGAACCCUGAUCCAGCCAUGCCGCGUGUGUGAAGAAGGCCCUCGGGUUGUAAAGCACUUUCAGUGAGGAAGAACGCCUGGUGGUUAAUACCCAUCAGGAAAGACAUCACUCACAGAAGAAGCACCGGCUAACUCCGUGCCAGCAGCCGCGGUAAUACGGAGGGUGCGAGCGUUAAUCGGAAUUACUGGGCGUAAAGCGCGCGUAGGUGGCUUGAUAAGUCGGUUGUGAAAGCCCCGGGCUCAACCUGGGAACGGCAUCCGGAACUGUCAAGCUAGAGUGCAGGAGAGGAAGGUAGAAUUCCCGGUGUAGCGGUGAAAUGCGUAGAGAUCGGGAGGAAUACCAGUGGCGAAGGCGGCCUUCUGGACUGACACUGACACUGAGGUGCGAAAGCGUGGGUAGCAAACAGGAUUAGAUACCCGAGUAGUC